RNAcentral lists this non-coding RNA (29 nucleotides) under Rattus norvegicus (Norway rat). Lineage: Eukaryota; Metazoa; Chordata; Mammalia; Rodentia; Muridae. The record is from RNAcentral.
UGAGAAGAGUCGCUUAUUGUCGUUAGUGC